Molecule: ribosomal RNA, 568 nt
Filed under: Merluccius capensis (shallow-water Cape hake)
Lineage: Eukaryota; Metazoa; Chordata; Actinopteri; Gadiformes; Merlucciidae
Description: partial 16S ribosomal RNA
Rfam family: Bacterial large subunit ribosomal RNA
Source: RNAcentral
AAUAUAAGAGGUCCCGCCUGCCCUGUGACUAUAUGUUUAACGGCCGCGGUAUCUUAACCGUGCGAAGGUAGCGUAAUCACUUGUCUUUUAAAUGAAGACCUGUAUGAAUGGCAUCACGAGGGCUUAACUGUCUCCCCUCUCCAGUCAAUGAAAUUGACCUCCCCGUGCAGAGGCGGGGAUAUCUUUAUAAGACGAGAAGACCCUGUGGAGCUUUAGACCUAAAAUAAACCACGUUUAAGAUACUAAAAUUAAUAGCAAAAACUUAGUGGAUAAUUAUUAAAGUGUCUUUGGUUGGGGCGACCGCGGAGUAAAACACAACCUCCAUGUGGACGGGGAUACUAUCCCUAAAACUCAGAGCCUCCACUCCAAGCAACAGAAAUUCUGACCUAACUGAUCCGGUAUAACCGAUUAACGAACCCAGUUACCCCAGGGAUAACAGCGCAAUCCCCUCUCAGAGCUCAUAUCGACGAGGGGGUUUACGACCUCGAUGUUGGAUCAGGACAUCCUAGUGGUGCAGCCGCUAUUAGGGUUCGUUUGUUCAACGAUUAAAGUCCUACGUGAUCUGAGU